Molecule: ribosomal RNA, 318 nt
Filed under: uncultured Desulfobulbus sp.
Lineage: Bacteria; Pseudomonadati; Thermodesulfobacteriota; Desulfobulbia; Desulfobulbales; Desulfobulbaceae
Description: bacterial SSU rRNA
Rfam family: Bacterial small subunit ribosomal RNA
Source: RNAcentral
GUCGUGAGAUGUUGGGUUAAGUCCCGCAACGAGCGCAACCCUUGCCUUUAGUUGCCAGCAGUUCGGCUGGGCACUCUAAAGGGACUGCCGGUGUUAAACCGGAGGAAGGUGGGGAUGACGUCAAGUCCUCAUGGCCUUUAUGACCAGGGCUACACACGUACUACAAUGGCCGAUACAAAGGGCAGCGACACUGCGAGGUGAAGCCAAUCCCGUAAAAUCGGUCUCAGUCCGGAUUGGAGUCUGCAACUCGACUCCAUGAAGUUGGAAUCGCUAGUAAUCGUGGAUCAGCAUGCCACGGUGAAUACGUUCCCGGGCCUU